CAACCUGCCCACCACUUGGGGAUAACCUUGCGAAAGUAAGACUAAUACCCAAUGAUAUCUCUAGAAGACAUCUGAAAGAGAUUAAAGAUUUAUCGGUGAUGGAUGGGGAUGCGUCUGAUUAGCUUGUUGGCGGGGUAACGGCCCACCAAGGCAACGAUCAGUAGGGGUUCUGAGAGGAAGGUCCCCCACAUUGGAACUGAGACACGGUCCAAACUCCUACGGGAGGCAGCAGUGAGGAAUAUUGGUCGAUGGGCGAGAGCCUGAACCAGCCAAGUAGCGUGCAGGAUGACGGCCCUAUGGGUUGUAAACUGCUUUUAUAAGGGAAUAAAGUGAGUCUCGUGAGACUUUUUGCAUGUACCUUAUGAAUAAGGACCGGCUAAUUCCGUGCCAGCAGCCGCGGUAAUACGGAAGGUCCGGGCGUUAUCCGGAUUUAUUGGGUUUAAAGGGAGCGUAGGCCGGAGAUUAAGCGUGUUGUGAAAUGUAGACGCUCAACGUCUGCACUGCAGCGCGAACUGGUUUCCUUGAGUACGCACAAAGUGGGCGGAAUUCGUGGUGUAGCGGUGAAAUGCUUAGAUAUCACGAAGAACUCCGAUUG
This 595-nucleotide ribosomal RNA is filed under the name uncultured Bacteroidota bacterium. RNAcentral's name for it is "bacterial SSU rRNA". It matches the Rfam family "Bacterial small subunit ribosomal RNA", at positions 122 to 715 of the family's 1533-position model. Lineage: Bacteria; Pseudomonadati; Bacteroidota. The record is from RNAcentral.